CAGUCGCGGGAAUACGGAGGGUGCAAGCGUUAAUCGGAAUUACUGGGCGUAAAGCGCACGCAGGCGGUCUGACAAGUCAGAUGUGAAAUCCCCGGGCUUAACCUGGGAACUGCAUUUGAAACUGUCAGGCUGGAGUCUUGUAGAGGGGGGUGGAAUUCCAGGUGUAGCGGUGAAAUGCGUAGAGAUCUGGAGGAAUACCGGUGGCGAAGGCGGCCCCCUGGACAAAGACUGACGCUCAGGUGCGAAAGCGUGGGGAGCAAACAGGAUUAGAUACCCCUGUAGUCCCUGUCUCUUAUACACA
RNAcentral lists this ribosomal RNA (301 nucleotides) under uncultured bacterium. Its description in RNAcentral is "partial 16S ribosomal RNA". It matches the Rfam family "Bacterial small subunit ribosomal RNA", at positions 512 to 810 of the family's 1533-position model. The record is from RNAcentral.